This 670-nucleotide ribosomal RNA is filed under the name uncultured bacterium. RNAcentral's name for it is "bacterial SSU rRNA". It matches the Rfam family "Bacterial small subunit ribosomal RNA", at positions 1 to 633 of the family's 1533-position model. The record is from RNAcentral.
GCCCUUGAGUUUGAUCCUGGCUCAGAACGAACGCUGGCGGCGUGGAUUAGGCAUGCAAGUCGAACGAGAAUCUGGAGGUUCAAGUUUUCGGACAAGAACUUUCGGAGGACAGUGGCGGAAGGGUGAGGAAUACAUGGGCAAUCUAUCUUCAAGUUGGGUAUAACUCUGCGAAAGUGGAGAUAAUACCGAAUGUGGUGAUCCGGCGCAUGCCGGAGAAUCUAAAGGCGGGGACCGCAAGGCCUGCCGCUUGGAGCUGAGCCCGUGCACUAUCAGCUAGUUGGUGAGGUAACGGCCCACCAAGGCUAUGACGGUUAGCUGGUCUGAGAGGAUGGUCAGCCACACUGGGACUGAGAUACUGCCCAGACUCCUACGGGAGGCUGCAGUCGAGAAUCAUUCGCAAUGGGCGAAAGCCUGACGGUGCGACGUCGCGUGGAGGAUGAAGGUCUUCGGAUUGUAAACUCCUGUCAUGAGGGAUAAAUGGCCGGGGCACGAAUAGUGCCUUGGAAUGAUAGUACCUCAGGAGGAAGAGACGGCUAACUCUGUGCCAGCAGCCGCGGUAAUACAGAGGUCUCAAGCGUUGUUCGGAUUUACUGGGCGUAAAGGGAGCGUAGGCGGUUUGGUAUGUCGAAUGUGAAAGCCCACAACUCAACUGUGGAACUGCAUUCGAAAC